UUUAAAACGUUCCGUCAUGAUAGCUUCGAUAUGUUGUAGUACAGGCAUUCUUACCAUCUUGUACCAAUUUUCUUUUGUGUCAUCAUUAUUUUCAUUUUGAAAUGGAGAUGAAGGGGGGAAAAUGUAUUCCAUAAUAUAAAUAAUCAUCCUAUCCAAAAUCUCAUUUCCUUACAAUUCCGAUAGUUAUCUAACUUUUUAAUUUAUAGUAAGUUAACUGAACGGUAACCCUGAAUACAUCUCUGUUAUUUUAUUUGCAUGUGGAGUUUUCCACUUUAAUAAACGUACGUGUAUGCAAAAAUAUAAUUUACAAAAUAAAAAAUAUUAAAAACCAUUUGUAAUGAUAAGAUUAAACGUAUCUCGUUCAUUACAUGGUACUCCAUACACAUUACAUAUGUAUAGCUCAAAUAUACAAUAAUGUAUAACAGAUCCUCACAGCAAAGAAAUGCGUCUUAAGGUAACAAAUGCAAAUAUGAUGAAAAUAUAAAUCAUAUACGAUUGUCUUAUUCGCAUUUUAUGACUGCUAUACACUGUCUGCAGAUAGGUAUUUAUGCAUGUGAAACACUAUGGUUAUAAUCUAUGAAUAUCAGGAGGGGCGGUUUCCUACCAGAAAAAAAGCCAUACUUCUAUAAAAAUCCUGCUUCCUGUGACAGCUGCCGAAAUAGCCCAAACUUCACGUACAAAACGUAAUUGUCUUACGCGAAUAAUGGCCAGUGUGACAAUUCGUCAUCCAAUGGCAUAUUUAAGACCAAUCAAUGCAAUAGAUUGAUAGAUUCGAUUCAAUCCGCACGAUAGGAAACCAGGUAAGAUAAAAAUGUACAAAGUAUUUUAUUUCCGAGAAAGCUGCAACACUAUUCUAUUUUUUCUUUAUUUCAUUCUCCCUCUCUCGCUCUUUUUUUUUUUUUUUUUUUUUUUUUAAAGUUUUAUGCUAUGGUUUUAGCAUGAACACUUACUUAGUAUAGAUUGACAUUUAAGGACCUGUCGUUUUGGGCUGCUAAAGCAUGCACUUAUUUAAAAUCAAUCUAGACAAACAUAUAUGUUUUCUCAUUUUUUGACAUUCAUUGACCUGUUAACCAUUAAAGACGACAGCAAAUAUUUGAAGUAAAUUUGUGCGUGCCUGAAGUUACGUUUUCUUUUUUUCUUUUCAAUCAUCUACACUCGUACAAUCUUCUAAAUGCCUUGUUUGACAUAUUGUCUGGGGUUCCUUUAUAUAUUUUGAAUGGCCGUGGAUUGACUAUUUGCUUUAGUGUUGCAAGACAACACGAAAAGAUCGAAACAUAAUAAUGGUCAGGAAAUAAAUAUUUAUCUUUCACUAGUGUUCAGUCAGAAAUGUUAAACAAUAAAACAUGCAUACAUGUACAUCAAAAAUUGUAUUCACUCUUACCAUAUCUAAUGAUACAACAGGGGUGCGGAUUUUGACAUCUCUAAAAAUAGCAACUAUAGAAAUUAUUUUUGCCAUCACUUUUGCAUAAAAAGGAUCUUAAUUCCUCUGUAAAAAGUCAGUCUGACGUGUUGAAAUUAAAUGUACAAUGUGCACAGUGUAUUCAUGUUGAAAUAUAUUUGUGUAUACCAUAUCCCUUGUUCAAAACAAAAGUGGUUGAAUUUGCGUCGAAAGCAAAACUGUUUCACAUAUUUCCAUGAAUUAGGCGAGUCGCACACAAAAUCGUUUUAUUGUUGAAGAGCUGUUGAGGAUGCCUAACCUAGAGAGCCUCGUGUUCACCCUCUUGCUAGUGGUUGUCCUAGCUACGUCAGCGGAAGCCUUCGGACUCUUUAAUUACGACUUCCCCAGAUUCAACCCUUCCCCAUUCUUCUAUCCUGUCUUUGGGGGAUUCGGAGGGGACGACUUCUUCGAUGAUGAUUAAUUCAGAUGAUGAGAUUCCAAAUUGGUAGAAAGAUCCGUGCAUAAGAAGUCCCAUGUUGUGUAAAGCUGCAAAACACAGCUUCCAGAAACUUUAAAUUCUUCGAUAUCAAAUAAAGUUUUUACAAACUUGC
Long non-coding RNA from Ostrea edulis (European flat oyster), 1989 nucleotides. RefSeq lists it as uncharacterized. The record is from RefSeq and is a predicted model, not a curated record. The transcript is spliced from 3 exons. NCBI's taxonomy places the organism in Eukaryota, Metazoa, Mollusca, Bivalvia, Ostreida, Ostreidae.